GGAUAAAUGGCGUAUUAGCGUAUAUGAUUUCGGGUCAUAAGGAACAAAUGUUGUUUUAUCCU
This 62-nucleotide transfer RNA is filed under the name Marcia recens. RNAcentral's name for it is "tRNA-Arg". Lineage: Eukaryota; Metazoa; Mollusca; Bivalvia; Venerida; Veneridae. The record is from RNAcentral.